RNAcentral lists this ribosomal RNA (672 nucleotides) under uncultured delta proteobacterium. Its description in RNAcentral is "bacterial SSU rRNA". It matches the Rfam family "Bacterial small subunit ribosomal RNA", at positions 192 to 860 of the family's 1533-position model. Lineage: Bacteria; Deltaproteobacteria. The record is from RNAcentral.
GCCUCUAUUCAUAAGCUUACACUCGAGGAUGAGCCCGCGGCCCAUCAGCUAGUUGGCGGGGUAACGGCCCACCAAGGCAACGACGGGUAGCUGGUCUGAGAGGACGAUCAGCCACACUGGAACUGAGACACGGUCCAGACUCCUACGGGAGGCAGCAGUGGGGAAUUUUCCACAAUGGGCGCAAGCCUGAUGGAGCAACGCCGCGUGUGUGAUGAAGGUCUUCGGAUCGUAAAGCACUUUCGACCGGGACGAAAAACCUCUGGCUAACAUCCAGGGGCCUGACGGUACCGGGAGAAGAAGCACCGGCUAACUCUGUGCCAGCAGCCGCGGUAAUACAGAGGGUGCAAGCGUUGUUCGGAAUUAUUGGGCGUAAAGCGCGUGUAGGCGGCUUGGCAAGUCAGAUGUGAAAGCCCUCGGCUCAACCGAGGAAGUGCGUCUGAAACUGCCUGAGCUUGAGUGCCGGAGAGGGUGGCGGAACUCUGCAAGUAGAGGUGAAAUUCGUAGAUAUGCGGAAGAACACCGGUGGCGAAGGCGGCCACCUGGACGGCAACUGACGCUGAGACGCGAAAGCGUGGGGAGCAAACAGGAUUAGAUACCCUGGUAGUCCACGCUGUAAACGAUGAGAACUAGGUGUCGUGGGUGUUGACCCCCGCGGUGCCGUAGCUAACGCAU